UGGGGAAUCUUCCGCAAUGGACGAAAGUCUGACGGAGCAACGCCGCGUGAGUGAUGACGGCCUUCGGGUUGUAAAGCUCUGUUAAUCGGGACGAAUGGUUCUUGUGCGAAUAGUGCGAGGAUUUGACGGUACCGGAAUAGAAAGCCACGGCUAACUACGUGCCAGCAGCCGCGGUAAUACGUAGGUGGCAAGCGUUGUCCGGAAUUAUUGGGCGUAAAGCGCGCGCAGGCGGAUCAGUUAGUCUGUCUUAAAAGUUCGGGGCUUAACCCCGUGAUGGGAUGGAAACUGCUGAUCUAGAGUAUCGGAGAGGAAAGUGGAAUUCCUAGUGUAGCGGUGAAAUGCGUAGAUAUUAGGAAGAACACCAGUGGCGAAGGCGACUUUCUGGACGAAAACUGACGCUGAGGCGCGAAAGCCAGGGGAGCGAACGGGAUUAGAUACCCCGGUAGUCCUGGCCGUAAACGAUGGGUACUAGGUGUAGGAGGUAUCGACCCCUCCUGUGCCGGAGUUAACGCAAUAAGUACCCCGCCUGGGGAGUACGACCGCAAGGUUG
This 550-nucleotide ribosomal RNA is filed under the name uncultured bacterium. RNAcentral describes it as "bacterial SSU rRNA". It matches the Rfam family "Bacterial small subunit ribosomal RNA", at positions 355 to 896 of the family's 1533-position model. The record is from RNAcentral.